AUUCAGCUGACGAAUCCCAAAUAGGACGAAACGCGAAUCCCAGAU
RNAcentral lists this non-coding RNA (45 nucleotides) under Schistosoma mattheei. Lineage: Eukaryota; Metazoa; Platyhelminthes; Trematoda; Strigeidida; Schistosomatidae. The record is from RNAcentral.